RNAcentral lists this ribosomal RNA (200 nucleotides) under uncultured bacterium. Its description in RNAcentral is "partial 16S ribosomal RNA". It matches the Rfam family "Bacterial small subunit ribosomal RNA", at positions 335 to 524 of the family's 1533-position model. The record is from RNAcentral.
ACUCCUACGGAAGGCAGCAGUGGGGGAAUUUUGGACAAUGGGGGGAAACCCUGAUCCAGCCAUGCCGCGUGCGGGGAAGAAGGCCUUCGGGUUGUAAACCGCUUUGUCAGGGAAGAAAAGGACGCAGUCUAAUACAUUGCGGCCAUGACGGUACCUGAAGAAUAAGCACCGGCUAACUACGUGCCAGCAGCCGCGGUAAU